This 715-nucleotide long non-coding RNA is filed under the name Olea europaea (common olive). RNAcentral describes it as "long non-coding RNA (OEUR_LNC008163)". Lineage: Eukaryota; Viridiplantae; Streptophyta; Magnoliopsida; Lamiales; Oleaceae. The record is from RNAcentral.
GUGAAGAUAUGGUUCACCUAACCCCACCACCUAAUGUUGUGAGUUGAUGGGAGUGAGGUUGACACAAUAAGGUCUUCCCUUCCUUUGGCAGAGGCAUGGUCUUUCUUCCUACCCCUUCAUUAUGUACACUCUACCAUUUUCAAAUAAAGGGGGGGCAGCUCACGUUUUUUGGAGGAUUCCAGCAGCAGCAGAAGGUAGAGCUCUCGUUUUAGCAAAAGGGUGGUGGUUAUUCAUUAGAUUUUUCCCCUCUCUCUUGGAAGGUGAUUUGCAAGUCAUGGAGGCUGUUCCUGAGCCUGAAAAACACCCAUAAAUUCGAAGAAGAAGCUGCUGAAACGAAGAAGAAGAAGCUGGACAGAUUUCGGCCAAAGAAGGGGAGUAUUCUUCCGGUUUAUUUUCUUGUUUUUUGCCUUGAAUCUUGUUUGUUGAUUGUUGUUUUGGUUGUUUGAACUCCUAGGAUCCCAAACAAACUGGUAUCAGAGCUAGGAGGAGUGAUAUUAGUCCAAAAAUCGAUCAAAAACCAGCAAGAAAUCACCAUUUCCACAUUCUAACCGAAUCUGAAAAACUUGAUUUCCGGCCAACCGAUUGACUUUCCGGCGAAAUGGACCAUGGAACCAUGACCAGCAGGAGGAGGCGCACCUAGUAAGGCGGCGGCGCGUGCCGGACCUCCGGCGAGCUUUUUUCGGGCAGUUUACUCAUUUUGACGUCCUGAACGCAC